RNAcentral lists this ribosomal RNA (480 nucleotides) under uncultured bacterium. RNAcentral's name for it is "bacterial SSU rRNA". It matches the Rfam family "Bacterial small subunit ribosomal RNA", at positions 28 to 525 of the family's 1533-position model. The record is from RNAcentral.
GACGAACGCUGGCGGCGUGCUUAACACAUGCAAGUCGAACGGUGAAGCUCAAGCUUGCUUGGGUGGAUCAGUGGCGAACGGGUGAGUAACACGUGAGCAACCUGCCCUGGACUCUGGAAUAAGCGCUGGAAACGGCGUCUAAUACUGGAUAUGACAUUGAGCCGCAUGGUUUGGUGUGGAAAGUUUUUCGGUCUGGGAUGGGCUCGCGGCCUAUCAGCUUGUUGGUGAGGUAAUGGCUUACCAAGGCGACGACGGGUAGCCGGCCUGAGAGGGCGACCGGCCACACUGGGACUGAGACACGGCCCAGACUCCUACGGGAGGCAGCAGUGGGGAAUAUUGCACAAUGGGCGAAAGCCUGAUGCAGCGACGCCGCGUGAGGGAUGACGGCCUUCGGGUUGUAAACCUCUUUCAGCAGGGAAGAAAGUGACGGUACCAGCAGAAGAAGCCCCGGCUAACUCCGUGCCAGCCGCCGCAGUAAAC